GAUGAAGAACGCAGCGAAAUGCGAUAAGUAAUGUGAAUUGCAGAAUUCAGUGAACCAUCGAAUCUUUGAACGCACAUUGCGCCCGGUAGUAAUCUGCCGGGCAUGCCUGUCCGAGCGUCAUUUCUCCCCUCGAGCGCGGCUUCACGGCCUGUCGCACGGUGUUGGGGCGCUACGGAGGGAGCCCAGCGCUCCCCCCCGUAGGCCCCGAAAUGUAGUGGCGGUCCGCCGCGGCGCCCCCUGCGUAGUAGUCUUACAACUCGCAUCGGGACCCGGCGGAGGCCAGCCGUCAAACCCCCAACUUCAAUAGUUUGACCUCGGAUCAGGUAGGGUUACCCGCUGAACUUAAGCAUAUCAAUAAGCGGAGGA
This 366-nucleotide unclassified non-coding RNA is filed under the name soil metagenome. Its description in RNAcentral is "partial contains 5.8S ribosomal RNA, internal transcribed spacer 2, and large subunit ribosomal RNA". The stretch from base 1 to 120 matches the Rfam family "5.8S ribosomal RNA", at positions 35 to 154 of the family's 154-position model. The record is from RNAcentral.